GAACUUGGCUGGGACACUAAGAACUGCUAAUUACUUAGUUCCGUGGUUCAAUUCCACGGCUUGUUCG
Molecule: transfer RNA, 67 nt
Filed under: Xenopus pygmaeus (Bouchia clawed frog)
Lineage: Eukaryota; Metazoa; Chordata; Amphibia; Anura; Pipidae
Description: tRNA-Ser
Source: RNAcentral